GACGAACGCUGGCGGCGUGCUUAACACAUGCAAGUCGAACGGAAAGGCCCUGCUUUUGUGGGGUGCUCGAGUGGCGAACGGGUGAGUAACACGUGAGUAACCUGCCCUUGACUUUGGGAUAACUUCAGGAAACUGGGGCUAAUACCGGAUAGGAGCUCCUGCUGCAUGGUGGGGGUUGGAAAGUUUCGGCGGUUGGGGAUGGACUCGCGGCUUAUCAGCUUGUUGGUGGGGUAGUGGCUUACCAAGGCUUUGACGGGUAGCCGGCCUGAGAGGGUGACCGGCCACAUUGGGACUGAGAUACGGCCCAGACUCCUACGGGAGGCAGCAGUGGGGAAUAUUGCACAAUGGGCGGAAGCCUGAUGCAGCAACGCCGCGUGCGGGAUGACGGCCUUCGGGUUGUAAACCGCUUUCGCCUGUGACGAAGCGUGAGUGACGGUAAUGGGUAAAGAAGCACCGGCUAACUACGUGCCAGCAGCCGCGGUGAUACGUAGGGUGCGAGCGUUGUCCGGAUUUAUUGGGCGUAAAGGGCUCGUAGGUGGUUGAUCGCGUCGGAAGUGUAAUCUUGGGGCUUAACCCUGAGCGUGCUUUCGAUACGGGUUGACUUGAGGAAGGUAGGGGAGAAUGGAAUUCCUGGUGGAGCGGUGGAAUGCGCAGAUAUCAGGAGGAACACCAGUGGCGAAGGCGGUUCUCUGGGCCUUUCCUGACGCUGAGGAGCGAAAGCGUGGGGAGCGAACAGGCUUAGAUACCCUGGUAGUCCACGCUGUAAACGGUGGGUACUAGGUGUGGGGUCCAUUCCACGGGUUCCGUGCCGUAGCUAACGCUUUAAGUACCCCGCCUGGGGAGUACGGCCGCAAGGCUAAAACUCAAAGGAAUUGACGGGGCCCCGCACAAGCGGCGGAGCAUGCGGAUUAAUUCGAUGCAACGCGUAGAACCUUACCUGGGUUUGACAUGGAUCGGGAGUGCUCAGAGAUGGGUGUGCCUCUUUUGGGGUCGGUUCACAGGUGGUGCAUGGCUGUCGUCAGCUCGUGUCGUGAGAUGUUGGGUUAAGUCCCGCAACGAGCGCAACCCUUGUUCAUUGUUGCCAGCACGUUAUGGUGGGGACUCAGUGGAGACCGCCGGGGUCAACUCGGAGGAAGGUGGGGAUGACGUCAAGUCAUCAUGCCCCUUAUGUCCAGGGCUUCACGCAUGCUACAAUGGCUGGUACAGAGAGUGGCGAGCCUGUGAGGGUGAGCGAAUCUCGGAAAGCCGGUCUCAGUUUGGAUUGGGGUCUGCAACUCGACCUCAUGAAGUCGGAGUCGCUAGUAAUCGCAGAUCAGCAACGCUGCGGUGAAUACGUUCCCGGG
RNAcentral lists this ribosomal RNA (1343 nucleotides) under uncultured bacterium. RNAcentral's name for it is "16S ribosomal RNA". It matches the Rfam family "Bacterial small subunit ribosomal RNA", at positions 28 to 1378 of the family's 1533-position model. The record is from RNAcentral.